Coturnix japonica (Japanese quail) is the source of this 2015-nucleotide non-coding RNA. Lineage: Eukaryota; Metazoa; Chordata; Aves; Galliformes; Phasianidae. The record is from RefSeq and is a predicted model, not a curated record.
CUCGGCCCCGUGUCAGGCGAUGAGCUGCGAGGGCACCACGUGCAGCGAUACCCCACAGCGUCCCUCCUCUCCCUUGUGAUACAGGCUGCUCUGACACUUGGCACUGUCACCUAACGGGCCCGGCCCCAGCGCUGAACAAGGCCCGAGCUCUGCACUCGCAGCCCCGUUGGGACGAGGGGCAUUUCCUAAGCGGGAUCAGCAAUAGGCGAUCCACCCCCAGACCGAGAUGGAGCAGAGUUGCACCACUUUGCUAAGGAAGUGCUUUUUUGUAAUUCCAGGUGUAACAAAAACUCCACUCUUCCUGCUCUGCGCCAGGGCUGGAGCUCUGACGUAACUUUCCAGACAAGUCAGGUUUCCCCCUGCUGUUCUGUUCUGAACCAAAACCAAAACGCUGGGGUUUCUUCACUUCUGCAUGCUGGAGACGGGACUGAACGGACCAAGCAAAGUCCACCCCAGGCUCACAACGUUAUUUUGCCAUCCACAGCCUUCUCAGCAGCCCUGUGCACAGCCCGGAGUGUCAGCUUUGAAGAGGAGGAGGAAAGCGAGCCGGCAGAGCCCCUCUCUCAGCCAUUCCUUUGUGUCUGCGCACAGUUCCCUUUGUUUAAAGACCCCCUGACCAAACUCCUUGCUUCUCCUUUCUGUUAACGUCCCUCUGCACCUGAGCUUAGCGUACUGGUCCAGGCCUGAGCCACCCCACUGUCGUAUCCCUGCAGGGAGAGCCUGUGUCCCUAACCUCAGUGCUGCGAUAGCAGUUCAAAAAGCAGGUUCCUAGGAACAGCUUCAUCCCUGAAGUGUGAAGGUCACUGCAACAGCACAAACAAAAUGGAGGCAGCAGAGGCUGCAGCGGCCUUCCAGAGCGGCUCAGCGCCUGAAGAUCUAUGGGUCAAAAGAAAACCGCUUCAAGGGCAGAAAAGCCUCAAUUCACAUCAUAGAGCAGGAAAGCAAUCACGAGCCAGGUCAGUCUAUCCAAGUCACAAUGCCCCCAAGACCUUUUGCUGAGGGAUUUCUGGUUCACACACCAGGUGACUGUAGUGGACUGAGCAGAAUUAGCUCUGAGACACCUUGAGGGUCAUGCUGUCCAUUCUUGGCGCGAGGCUGCUCAGCCCGCUGCCAAGCCCCCUGCCUCCCUGCACGCACACACACACACGUGGUGCAUGGCUGUUGGGAAGCAGACAGAAGCCACACACUUUCGCUGCUGAUCUACACGUGGCCAGCACCUCUCCCUGCCCAGGGUGUACCAGUGCACUCUCCCAGCCAUCACCUACACCUGGGUCACAAUUCCACCUGUAGAUGUGAUAUGACAUGGAUAUGGAGCCUGCCCGGAGCGGGGCAGUGAGGCUGCUGUGCCCCCUUGGCAGAGCUCAAAGCGGACUUCUCCGCAGACACCCAGAACUAUCACUAACACACAGUCGGCUCACCGGGGCAAGAAACUUCUGUCCUUUGGGCAGUGCCUUUCAGUAAUGCUCACAAAGCCUAUCUAACAGCAGAUGAGGCAGGGGAUUCUGCCUCACUCUACACCAGCCUGCUGUAUAUCACAAAGGGCAACCGGGAAACCAAAAGCACUCCAAGAGACAAGCGGGCCUAGCGUGCCCUUCGGUGGGAGCCUGAAGGUCAUGCUCUCCUCUGCUGUCUUUUGGAAUUACCCAACAGCUCUGUAACACAGUUUCUUUCCAAUAGAUUUUCAGCAUGUCACAGAGGUGUGGAAACAAGCCCUGGCCUCAAGAGUGGGAAGCUCCUUUUUGUGCCCUUUGCAGGUCACAAUAAAUGCAUGUCCUGCAGCAGGGCAAAACCCUCCCGAAGAAAUAACUGUUUCACACCUCUGUACCUGCACCUUCCCGUUCCCCCUUUCCUCCCAGUUCCAGUAUGGAGCAAGUUAUUCUCUAAAGGGAGAGAAAAGGUUAAUGACGCUGUUCCUCCCCAGCCAUCGCCCCCCUCGCCAACACCACCAGCACUCUUUCUCUCCCUUCCCCUCCCCCUAAUCUGUGCAGCCUCAUUAAAAGAGCUUUGUAACUGUU